Molecule: ribosomal RNA, 314 nt
Filed under: uncultured eukaryote
Lineage: Eukaryota
Description: partial 18S ribosomal RNA
Rfam family: Eukaryotic small subunit ribosomal RNA
Source: RNAcentral
CCCUUAGAUGUUCUGGGCCGCACGCGCGCUACAAUGGCAGACUCAGCGAGUUACCUCUGUCGAAAGGCACAGGGAAUCUUUACAGUAUCUGCCGUGAUGGGGAUAGACCCUUGUAAUUUUUGGUCUUCAACGAGGAAUUCCUAGUAAACGCAGGUCAUUAACUUGCAUUGAUUACGUCCCUGCCCUUUGUACACACCGCCCGUCGCACCUACCGAUUGAAUGGUCCGGUGAAGUCCUCGGACCCAGUUGAACCUCGAGUUGAACAGGGAAAGUUGACUAAAUCUUACCAUUUAGAGGAAGGUGAAGUCGUAACA